GAUGAACGCUGGCGGCGUGCCUAAUACAUGCAAGUCGAGCGAACAGACGAUGAGCUUGCACCUCUGACGUUAGCGGCGGACGGGUGAGUAACACGUGGAUAACCUACCUAUAAGACUGGGAUAACUUCGGGAAACCGGAGCUAAUACCGGAUAAUAUAUUGAACCGCAUGGUUCAAUAGUGAAAGACGGUUUUGCUGUCACUUAUAGAUGGAUCCGCGCCGCAUUAGCUAGUUGGUAAGGUAACGGCUUACCAAGGCAACGAUGCGUAGCCGACCUGAGAGGGUGAUCGGCCACACUGGAACUGAGACACGGUCCAGACUCCUACGGGAGGCAGCAGUAGGGAAUCUUCCGCAAUGGGCGAAAGCCUGACGGAGCAACGCCGCGUGAAUGAUGAAGGUCUUCGGAUCGUAAAACUCUGUUAUUAGGGAAGAACAAAUGUGUAAGUAACUAUGCACGUCUUGACGGUACCUAAUCAGAAAGCAACGGCUAACUACGUG
RNAcentral lists this ribosomal RNA (497 nucleotides) under uncultured bacterium. Its description in RNAcentral is "partial 16S ribosomal RNA". It matches the Rfam family "Bacterial small subunit ribosomal RNA", at positions 28 to 507 of the family's 1533-position model. The record is from RNAcentral.